GCUCGGAUCUUGGCUAUAAAUAAUAAAAUCAAUAAGCAGAAAAUAUAUAAGCAACCUUAUUGGCACAACGAUCGGACUUAACUAACUUCUUUUGUUGAUGAAUCAAUUCUUUACUUUAUUUAUAGGAAACAAGUGGUUGAAAAGCUUGCUAUAUUCAAUUAUAAAUGAUGCCAAUUAUGAGAAGAAGAAUAUGCGCACAAGUUGCAAUCAAAUAUUAAAAAUUAUAAGAAAGAAUAAUAAUAAAAAAUUAUAUAAGUAAUGGCAUGGGGUU
RNAcentral lists this long non-coding RNA (271 nucleotides) under Elaeis guineensis (African oil palm). Its description in RNAcentral is "long non-coding RNA (EGUI_LNC033166)". Lineage: Eukaryota; Viridiplantae; Streptophyta; Magnoliopsida; Arecales; Arecaceae. The record is from RNAcentral.